GUUCCUACGGGGCGCAGCAGUGGGGAAUAUUGCACAAUGGGGGAAACCCUGAUGCAGCGACGCCGCGUGGGUGACGAAGUAUUUCGGUAUGUAAAGCCCUAUCAGCAGGGAAGAAGAUGACAGUACCUGACUAAGAAGCCCCGGCUAACUACGUGCCAGCAGCCGCGGUAAUACGUAGGGGGCAAGCGUUAUCCGGAUUUACUGGGCGUGAAGGGGGCGCAGGCGGCGCGCCAAGCCCGAUGUGAAAGCCCGGGGCUCAACCCCGGGACUGCAUUGGGAACGGGCGUGCUGGAGGGCCGGGGGGG
This 305-nucleotide ribosomal RNA is filed under the name uncultured bacterium. Its description in RNAcentral is "bacterial SSU rRNA". It matches the Rfam family "Bacterial small subunit ribosomal RNA", at positions 335 to 657 of the family's 1533-position model. The record is from RNAcentral.